UCCCUGAUGGUUCAGAUGGUAAAGAAUCUGCCUACAAUGCAGGAGACCCGGGUUCGAUUCCUGGGUUGGGAA
This 72-nucleotide transfer RNA is filed under the name Bos taurus (domestic cattle). It matches the Rfam family "tRNA". Rfam says of the family: Transfer RNA (tRNA) molecules are approximately 80 nucleotides in length. RNAcentral also lists the same sequence under 1 other name. Lineage: Eukaryota; Metazoa; Chordata; Mammalia; Artiodactyla; Bovidae. The record is from Rfam by way of RNAcentral.